RNAcentral lists this ribosomal RNA (464 nucleotides) under soil bacterium 04G-08. RNAcentral's name for it is "bacterial SSU rRNA". It matches the Rfam family "Bacterial small subunit ribosomal RNA", at positions 24 to 477 of the family's 1533-position model. The record is from RNAcentral.
UCAGGACGAACGCUGGCGGCGUGCCUAAUACAUGCAAGUCGAGCGGGUUUGUCCUUCGGGACAAGCUAGCGGCGGACGGGUGAGUAACACGUAGGCAACCUGCCUUUAAGACUGGGAUAACUAUCGGAAACGAUAGCUAAGACCGGAUAACUGGUUUUCUCGCAUGAGAGAAUUAUGAAACACGGAGCAAUCUGUGGCUUAAAGAUGGGCCUGCGGCGCAUUAGCUAGUUGGUGAGGUAACGGCUCACCAAGGCGACGAUGCGUAGCCGACCUGAGAGGGUGAACGGCCACACUGGGACUGAGACACGGCCCAGACUCCUACGGGAGGCAGCAGUAGGGAAUCUUCCGCAAUGGACGCAAGUCUGACGGAGCAACGCCGCGUGAGUGAUGAAGGUUUUCGGAUCGUAAAGCUCUGUUGCCCUAGACGAACAGCAAGGAGAGUAACUGCUCUUUGUGUGACGGUA